This 673-nucleotide ribosomal RNA is filed under the name Mansonella perstans. RNAcentral's name for it is "12S ribosomal RNA". Lineage: Eukaryota; Metazoa; Nematoda; Chromadorea; Rhabditida; Onchocercidae. The record is from RNAcentral.
UUUUAAGUUUGAUUUUGGUUUUGGUUGUAUUAAGAUAGUAUUACUUAUUUUUAGUUUAUUUAAUGUGAAAUUUUUUAUCUACUGGUAGUUUUUUGAUUGUUUUACUAGUGUUCCAGAAUAAUCGGCUAUACAUUUUAAUUUUUAACUCUAAUUGUUGUAAUGUUUUCUUGUUUUUUGAGUUUUUAUUUUGAUUUUUUGUAAAAUAUUUCAAUUUUUUUUUUUUUAAGAAAAUUUUUAAAAUUUGGUUUAGUUGAACUGGAUUAGUACCCAGGUAAUCAAAAUUAAUUAAUUCGGGAGUAAAGUUUUGUUUAAACCGAAAAAAUAUUGACUGACUCUGGAUUUCUUUUUGGAAUAUGUGUAUGGAGAGCCCUCUUUUAUAGUAAAUCUUUUUUUGCACAUGUAUGAUUGUUUAGUUUUUAUUUUAUUUUGUAAUGCUUUAUUUUUAGAUUAAAAACAGAUAUAUAUUUGGCUUAUGGGUUUAUUAAUCAUGUAUUACUAUUAUAAAUUUUUUUUGGAUGGUAUUCUAUUUUUUAUCUGAAAUUGGAAAAAAAAGUAAUUAUUUUUUUAUGUGUUAGUGAAUUUAAUAAAUAGAGUGGUACAAACCAUCCGUCAAUGGCCUAAAGGGGCGUAAGUUGUAGUAUGGUAGAGGUAAGGAAACUUGUUUCUAUGUUUU